Molecule: ribosomal RNA, 253 nt
Filed under: uncultured bacterium
Lineage: Bacteria
Description: partial 16S ribosomal RNA
Rfam family: Bacterial small subunit ribosomal RNA
Source: RNAcentral
UACGGAGGGGGCUAGCGUUGUUCGGAAUUACUGGGCGUAAAGGGCGCGUAGGCGGACGAUCAAGUCAGAGGUGAAAGGCCUGGGCUCAACCUGGGAACUGCCUUUGAAACUGAUAGUCUAGAGUCCGGGAGAGGAUGGCGGAAUUCCCAGUGUAGAGGUGAAAUUCGUCGAUAUUGGGAAGAACACUAGUGGCGAAGGCGGCCAUCUGGUCCGGUACUGACGCUGAGGCGCGAAAGCGUGGGGAGCAAACAGG